Molecule: small nucleolar RNA, 142 nt
Filed under: Hucho hucho (huchen)
Lineage: Eukaryota; Metazoa; Chordata; Actinopteri; Salmoniformes; Salmonidae
Description: Small nucleolar RNA U3 (ENSHHUG00000040539.1)
Rfam family: Small nucleolar RNA U3
About the family: Small nucleolar RNAs (snoRNAs) are involved in the processing and modification of rRNA in the nucleolus.
Source: RNAcentral
ACCCACGAGGAUGAGACGCGAUAUUCCCUUCUGAGCGCGAAGCGGGCUUUGAGUAAUGAUUCAUUUCAUCCGUUCUCUGCCAUUGAUGACCGUUCUUUGCUUCCUUGUGGAGCAUUGAGGGAGGGAAUAUGAUCAGAGUGGU